This 979-nucleotide long non-coding RNA is filed under the name Trifolium pratense (red clover). RNAcentral's name for it is "long non-coding RNA (TPRA_LNC000756)". The record is from RNAcentral. Lineage: Eukaryota; Viridiplantae; Streptophyta; Magnoliopsida; Fabales; Fabaceae.
UUCCAAUUAUUUUCUGCCUUUGGAUUGCAUUCCUCUGAUUGUACUCUACUAUUUGGAAGCUGUUUGGUUUUUAUUUAGCAAUCAGCAUCGCAUGGUUUUUUUAUUUUGCAAUUCUCAAAUUGUGAAAUUGAAUCUGCCAGUGUUGCUUAAUUGGUAAUUUCGACGCCUCCAUCAGGUUUGGAUUAGAACAGAAGAAUUGUCCUGAUUUCAGUGGUUGCUUGAUAGUAUUUGAUGCAUGGUGCAUCAUGCAAAGCUUCUAUGUUAGUGUUAGAGCAAGGUAGAAGGGUUCUGUUUGAUCAGAGAUUUCUUGAGAUUUGAAUAUAUAUUCUUUGAAGUAUGGUUGCAGUUGUGAUUGUCUCAUUUCAAUAUUCUGAUGCUGAUCACGUCCCAAUUCAUAUGAUCCAUUCAGUUUGAAUAGAAAAUGAUUUCUACUUGAAGAAAUCGUGUGGAGAUUAUGAGUUGAAGACCUUGUGUUCAUAUGUACUAUAUUACACGUUGCUGGUUGAAUUUGAUUUCAAUGCAUGCCAAAAGAGUGAGUUUGUGUCCAUAUGUUCUAAGUUUUGUUCAAUUGGUGACUACUAAAGUUGAUUGUUCAAAGGUUGUUUUUUGUGUAGCCUGUUGGCUUUGUUAUUAGCUUCUGUUUAAUGGUUAAGCAUGAUGUUUCUGUCAUAAAUGGUUAAGCAUUGAUAUUUUGCUUCUGUCUUGAGUGAUUGAAUACUCUCGAUGGUUUAGUUCGGUGCCUUAAAUGGCUUGUUGCUGUGCUUCCGCCAAAUGGUUAAACUUUGAGCAUAGCUUCAGCUUGGUGGUUAAAUCUUUGCCCUAUGGCUGUAUUGAUGUUAGCUUCCGCCCUAUGGUAGUUAAGCGUUUGAUUGUUGCUUCUUCCAAGUGGUUAAGCUUUGAGUUGUGGCUUCUGCUUGAUGGUUAAGCAUAUGCAUUUUGCUUUUGAACAUUUCUCAUUGUGUAAUCUCUUGACGCUAAG